RNAcentral lists this ribosomal RNA (1346 nucleotides) under uncultured bacterium. Its description in RNAcentral is "partial 16S ribosomal RNA". It matches the Rfam family "Bacterial small subunit ribosomal RNA", at positions 28 to 1381 of the family's 1533-position model. The record is from RNAcentral.
GACGAACGCUGGCGGCGUGCUUAACACAUGCAAGUCGAACGGAAAGGCCCUGCUUUUGUGGGGUGCUCGAGUGGCGAACGGGUGAGUAACACGUGAGUAACCUGCCCUUGACUUUGGGAUAACUUCAGGAAACUGGGGCUAAUACCGGAUAGGAGCUCCUGCUGCAUGGUGGGGGUUGGAAAGUUUCGGCGGUUGGGGAUGGACUCGCGGCUUAUCAGCUUGUUGGUGGGGUAGUGGCUUACCAAGGCUUUGACGGGUAGCCGGCCUGAGAGGGUGACCGGCCACAUUGGGACUGAGAUACGGCCCAGACUCCUACGGGAGGCAGCAGUGGGGAAUAUUGCACAAUGGGCGGAAGCCUGAUGCAGCAACGCCGCGUGCGGGAUGACGGCCUUCGGGUUGUAAACCGCUUUCGCCUGUGACGAAGCGUGAGUGACGGUAAUGGGUAAAGAAGCACCGGCUAACUACGUGCCAGCAGCCGCGGUGAUACGUANGGUGCGAGCGUUGUCCGGAUUUAUUGGGCGUAAAGGGCUCGUAGGUGGUUGAUCGCGUCGGAAGUGUAAUCUUGGGGCUUAACCCUGAGCGUGCUUUCGAUACGGGUUGACUUGAGGAAGGUAGGGGAGAAUGGAAUUCCUGGUGGAGCGGUGGAAUGCGCAGAUAUCAGGAGGAACACCAGUGGCGAAGGCGGUUCUCUGGGCCUUUCCUGACGCUGAGGAGCGAAAGCGUGGGGAGCGAACAGGCUUAGAUACCCUGGUAGUCCACGCUGUAAACGGUGGGUACUAGGUGUGGGGUCCAUUCCACGGGUUCCGUGCCGUAGCUAACGCUUUAAGUACCCCGCCUGGGGAGUACGGCCGCAAGGCUAAAACUCAAAGGAAUUGACGGGGCCCCGCACAAGCGGCGGAGCAUGCGGAUUAAUUCGAUGCAACGCGUAGAACCUUACCUGGGUUUGACAUGGAUCGGGAGUGCUCAGAGAUGGGUGUGCCUCUUUUGGGGUCGGUUCACAGGUGGUGCAUGGCUGUCGUCAGCUCGUGUCGUGAGAUGUUGGGUUAAGUCCCGCAACGAGCGCAACCCUUGUUCACUGUUGCCAGCACGUUAUGGUGGGGACUCAGUGGAGACCGCCGGGGUCAACUCGGAGGAAGGUGGGGAUGGCGUCAAGUCAUCAUGCCCCUUAUGUCCAGGGCUUCACGCAUGCUACAAUGGCUGGUACAGAGAGUGGCGAGCCUGUGAGGGUGAGCGAAUCUCGGAAAGCCGGUCUCAGUUCGGAUUGGGGUCUGCAACUCGACCUCAUGAAGUCGGAGUCGCUAGUAAUCGCAGAUCAGCAACGCUGCGGUGAAUACGUUCCCGGGGCU